Molecule: ribosomal RNA, 468 nt
Filed under: uncultured bacterium
Lineage: Bacteria
Description: partial 16S ribosomal RNA
Rfam family: Bacterial small subunit ribosomal RNA
Source: RNAcentral
GACGAACGCUGGCGGCGUGCUUAACACAUGCAAGUCGAACGGUGAAGCUCCAGCUUGCUGGAGUGGAUCAGUGGCGAACGGGUGAGUAACACGUGAGCAACCUGCCCCUGACUCUGGAAUAAGCGCUGGAAACGGCGUCUAAUACUGGAUACGAGAAGGGUCCGCAUGGGCACUUUCUGGAAAGUUUUUCGGUUGGGGAUGGGCUCGCGGCCUAUCAGCUUGUUGGUGAGGUAAUGGCUCACCAAGGCGACGACGGGUAGCCGGCCUGAGAGGGCGACCGGCCACACUGGGACUGAGACACGGCCCAGACUCCUACGGGAGGCAGCAGUGGGGAAUAUUGCACAAUGGGCGAAGGCCUGAUGCAGCGACGCCGCGUGAGGGAUGACGGCCUUCGGGUUGUAAACCUCUUUCAGCAGGGAAGAAGCGAAAGUGACGGUACCUGCAGAAGAAGCACCGGCUAACUACGUG